AGAAAAAUUAAUAAAGAUUUCUAAUCUUCUACUAGCCGGGGGCUUUUUUCUU
Molecule: transfer RNA, 52 nt
Filed under: Caprella penantis
Lineage: Eukaryota; Metazoa; Arthropoda; Malacostraca; Amphipoda; Caprellidae
Description: tRNA-Ser
Source: RNAcentral